CAAUCACUCGUAGGUUAUUUCUCUUGAUAGAGUCCCACAUGAUUCUUAAGGUUUCUUCAUUUUUUUUAAUUCUUUUAUCUGAUUUUUCUUCAAAUAUGUUAGUGCCAAGUGAUUUAUCUUCGAGUUCAGAAAUUCUAGCUUCUACUUCCUCAAUUCUGCCCCUCUGACUUUCUGUUGAGUCAUCUAAUUCUGUAAUUUUAUUGUUAAUGUUCCGAAUUUCUGAUUGUUGCCUGUCUAUGGAUUUUUCCAGCUUACUAAACUUUUCAUUAUGUUCCUGAAUAACCUUCCUAAUUUCUUUAUUUGCUUUAUCUGUGUGUUCCUUGGCUUGUUCUGCGUAUUGCCUCAUUUCCUUCCUGAUGUCUUGGAGGGUUCUGUAUAUUAAGCUUUUGUAUUCUGCAUCUGGUAAUUCCAGGAAUGCACUUUCACCUAGAAGAUCCCUGGAUUCUUUGUUUUGAGAGCGUGUUGAGGUGAUCAUGGUUCUGGAGGUGUGAGUGGGCUGUGUGGCUGCUGCUUCUCCCUGAGGAAACUGUGGCCGAACGCUAGUCUCAGCCCGAUGCCGCUGCCACUCUGGGAAUGGUGCCUGAGGGCUCCCCGCGAUUAAGGUGUAACAGCGACUGGAUGUGAGAGUACGGUUCUCUGUUCACUGGUCUUGCAGGGCAGCUGAGGAUAUAACUGGCAUUUCUGGAUGUAUUGGUACAUACAGCUGGGAAGUGACCACGGUGUCCACAUUGGCGCCAACAAUAGAAGCCAAGAUUGAUCUGACAUCAGCAACAGGCCGGUGUGGCAUGACUCAAAAUGAGAAGAAAGAGUUGCAAACAUCCAUUAAUAGUAGGAACAUGGAAUGUAUGAAGUAUGAAUCUAGGAAAAUCGGAAGUUGUGAAAAUGAAAUGGAACACAUAAAGAUUAAUAUCCUACGCAUUAGUGAGCUUCAAUAGAAUAGCUUUGGCCUUUUUGAAUGGGACAAUUGUAUGGUCUGCUAUGUUGGGAAUGACAAAUUAAAAAGGAAUGGCAUUAUAUUCAUAAUCAAAAAGAACAUUCCAAGAUCAACUGUGAAGUACAACUCUGUCAGUGAUAGAAUAGUAUCCAUACGCCUACAAGGAAGAUGAGUUAAUAUGACUUAUUCAGAUUCGCGCAGCAAUUAUUAAUGCCAAAGAUAAGUACAUUGAAGAUUUUCACCAACUUCUGUAGGUUGAAAUGGAUCAAAUGUGCAAUGAAGAUCCAUUGAUAAUUAAAGGUGUUUGGAAGGCGAAAGUUGGAAACAAACAAGAAGGAUUAGUAGUUGGAAAAUAUGGCCUUGCUGAAAGAAAAGAUGCUGGAGAUCACAUGAUAGAAUUUUGAAAGAACAACUUCACUGCAUUAACUCAUCUUUGUAGACAAGUUAAUCCAUAACAACCUUUCCAAGCCCACUGAUCUCAAGGCACUCUACUAUGCUUUCAGUUUUUUCGAGGGCUUAACUGUUGCAUCACCCAGUAGCUAUCAUAUGAUACAGUGUCAUAGAAGACAUCACAUAUUGCAGCUGGACAAAAGCUGGCAGCCAAUGAGGGACACGGCAAGGACAAUGGCCAGGUCCCCUGGACUCCUUCUCAGCAUAGAUCUGUGGACUACGCUCCUCCCAGAGUCCCUGGAUGGUACAAAAAAUUUUAGAUUUGAAUCUAGCCAAAGGUGCCUUGGAAGAAAGGCCCAGCAAUCAAAUUCUGAAAGAUCAUACUUAUUGCAAACCCUACGGAGCACAGCCGUACUCAGACACAUUGAGGCCACCACGAGUCAGAGUCGAUUCCAUGGCAUCUGCUCACAGGCCACCUUGCUGUUCCUCCAACAUGCCAGGCACGGUCCUGCCUCCAGAUAUGAACGAGUGUGCCAACCCUACCGCAUGCCCAGCUGACACCACCCGCACCAACACCUGGGACAGGUACUACUGCACAUGCAAACAGGGCUUCCUGCCCAGCAACAGACAAACCAGUUUCACGGGCCCAGAGGUAGACUGUACAGAUGUGGAUGAAUGCUCUCACACACCCCCACCCUGUGGUCCUGGCUCGGUCUGCACAAACCUGCGGGGGAGACACAGGUGCAGCUGUUUGCCUGGGUUCUCUUCUCCCACUGAAAUUACCUGGAUCCCAGCAUAGUCAGACGAUUUCACCCGUCCAGACAUCGACGGGUGCCUCAGCAGCGCCACCUGCCUGGAGAAUUCUGACUGCAUGAAGGCCGUGGGAAGCUACAGUUGCAGCUGCCGGGUGGGCUUCAUCCCAGGCACUCCACCUGUGAAGGUACAGAGCACCUGUCCUUCAUGACUUACCUAACCAAUUAACUAAUCAUCACCUCAUUUGACAACUAUGUGAAUAGGAUUGUGAUUCUGUUUUAGGGAUGAGAAAAUUGAGGCUCAGAGAGGUGAAGUGACUUGCCCAAGGACACACAGAAGAACCAGGAUUUGAAUUCCCAUUGAGGGCCUUCUGUGAGUCAAGCAGUGAGUCAGGCUAUACUUGGCAGUGAUAAGGAGCUCUUGUCCCUAGACUGAUUUUUCUUCCCAGGGAACAUCUAGCAAUGUCCAGAGGCAUUUUUUUAUUGUGAUAUAAAUAUACAUAACAAAACGUUUGCCAUUUCAACAUUAAAAAAUUGUUUACUGUGAUAAAAAUAUAUGGUGCUAUUGAUGGUUCAGUGGUAGAAUCCUUGCCUUUCAUGUGGGAGACCCAGGUACAACUCUGACUAAUGCCAUCUAUCAGUGGAGGCUUGUGUGUUGCUGUGAUCCUGAACAGCUUUCAGUGGAACUUCCAGACCAAAAUGGACUAGGAAGAAAGGCCUGGUGAUCGGCUUCUGAAAAUCAGCCAAUGAAAACCCUUUGGAUCACAACGGUGGGAUCCGUAAGCUAUUAAUGGGGAUGGCGCAGGACUGGGCAGCGUUUCGUGACGUUGUGCACGGGGUUGCCACGAGUCGGGGCCAACUUGACAGCAGCCAACAUCAACAACAAAUAUGCAACAAAACACAUGCCAUUUCAGUAUUUUUUACACGUUCAGCUCAGUGACACUGAUUACUUUCAUCAUGCUGUGCAACCAUCAGCACUAACCAGAGGCCUUUUUUCUGUUUUUUUGUGCUUUAGAUGAAGGUUUAGAGAACUAGUUUCUCAUUAAACAGUUGGUACACAUAAUUGUUUUAUGACACUGGUUAACAACCCCACGACACGUCAGCACUCUCCCUUCUCGACCUUGGGUUCCCUAUGACCAGCUUUCCUGUCCCCUCCUGCCUUCCCGUCCUUGCCCCAGCCUGGCGUGCCCCUUUAGUCUCGUUUUGUUUUAUGGGCCUGUCCAAUCCUUGGCUGAAGGUGAACCUCAGGAGUGACUUCAUCACCAAACUGAUAGGGUGUCCAGGGGCCAUACUCUCAGGAAAUAGCCUUGAUCCUCCUCUUC
Long non-coding RNA from Loxodonta africana (African savanna elephant), 3398 nucleotides. RefSeq lists it as uncharacterized. Lineage: Eukaryota; Metazoa; Chordata; Mammalia; Proboscidea; Elephantidae. The record is from RefSeq and is a predicted model, not a curated record. The transcript has 8 exons.